UAGAGACUUAGGAUAAACAAACCAAGGACCUUCAAAGUCCUAAAUAAGAGUCUCCCUCUUAGUCUCUGCCUAAAACCUAUAGAAUUAUUCUACAUCUCCUGAUUGCAACUCAGACAUUUUAAUUAAACUAAGGCUUCCAGGAGUCGGAGGGCCUCGAUCCCACAAAAAUUAGUUAACAGCUAACACGCCAACCAACAAGCAUCAACUCCACUAUCGUCUUUUUAAGCCCAAGGGCCAUAUUUCUAGCCACCAUUUGAUUUGCACUCAAAUAUUCACUUAAGCCAAU
This 286-nucleotide unclassified non-coding RNA is filed under the name Amphibolurus norrisi. RNAcentral describes it as "contains tRNA-Trp, tRNA-Ala, tRNA-Asn, tRNA-Cys, and tRNA-Tyr". The record is from RNAcentral. Lineage: Eukaryota; Metazoa; Chordata; Lepidosauria; Squamata; Agamidae.